AACGAACGCUGGCGGCAGGCCUAACACAUGCAAGUCGAGCGCGCCUUUCGGGGUGAGCGGCGGACGGGUUAGUAACGCGUGGGAAUAUGCCCAAAGGUACGGAAUAGCCUCUGGAAACGGAGAGUAAUACCGUAUGUGCCCUUCGGGGGAAAGAUUUAUCGCCUUUGGAUUAGCCCGCGUUAGAUUAGGUAGUUGGUGGGGUAAUGGCCUACCAAGCCUACGAUCUAUAGCUGGUUUGAGAGGAUGAUCAGCAACACUGGGACUGAGACACGGCCCAGACUCCUACGGGAGGCAGCAGUGAGGAAUCUUGGACAAUGGGGAAACCCUGAUCCAGCCAUGCCGCGUGAACGAUGAAGGCCUUAGGGUUGUAAAGUUCUUUCGCCUGGGAAGAUAAUGACGGUACCAGGUAAAGACCCG
RNAcentral lists this ribosomal RNA (417 nucleotides) under uncultured bacterium. Its description in RNAcentral is "bacterial SSU rRNA". It matches the Rfam family "Bacterial small subunit ribosomal RNA", at positions 29 to 492 of the family's 1533-position model. The record is from RNAcentral.